This 60-nucleotide transfer RNA is filed under the name Hyalella solida. RNAcentral describes it as "tRNA-Leu". Lineage: Eukaryota; Metazoa; Arthropoda; Malacostraca; Amphipoda; Hyalellidae. The record is from RNAcentral. RNAcentral also lists the same sequence under 1 other name.
AUUAUUUAGGCGGACUAGCGCGUUAAGUUUAGAACUUAAAAUUAGGGUAACCAAAUAAUA